UGGGCAAUCUGCCCUUCACUCUGGGACAAGCCCUGGAAACGGGGUCUAAUACCGGAUAAUACUUCUGCCCGCAUGGGUGGGGGUUAAAAGCUCCGGCGGUGAAGGAUGAGCCCGCGGCCUAUCAGCUUGUUGGUGAGGUAGUGGCUUACCAAGGCGACGACGGGUAGCCGGCCUGAGAGGGUGACCGGCCACACUGGGACUGAGACACGGCCCAGACUCCUACGGGAGGCAG
This 232-nucleotide ribosomal RNA is filed under the name uncultured bacterium. Its description in RNAcentral is "partial 16S ribosomal RNA". It matches the Rfam family "Bacterial small subunit ribosomal RNA", at positions 118 to 351 of the family's 1533-position model. The record is from RNAcentral.